GGUCUUAAUCUUGGGUUAUUUGGGUUGUGUUUGUUCUUGAUUAGGAUUAGGAAUCCUAAUCUAAUACCUGUUUAAGCCUUUAAAAGUCUGGGAACACUGGUAUCAGUGUGUGGUGGCUUGGUUUAGCAGGAGGCUGUGGUUUUGUGCGGCACGCAAGUCAUGAGGUUGCGCAGAAACCCGAGAAUGUGAACACCGUGAAGAGAGAGAACUGCAUACGACACU
This 222-nucleotide long non-coding RNA is filed under the name Elaeis guineensis (African oil palm). Its description in RNAcentral is "long non-coding RNA (EGUI_LNC008864)". Lineage: Eukaryota; Viridiplantae; Streptophyta; Magnoliopsida; Arecales; Arecaceae. The record is from RNAcentral.